UCAUUAGUGAAUAUAGGACGUCCAACUUAACUUGGAGUCCGAACUCUCACUUUCUAACCCUGUGCACUUGUUUGGGAUAGUAACUCUCGCAAGAGAGCGAACUCCUAUUCACUUAUAAACACAAAGUCUAUGAAUGUAUUAAAUUUUAUAACAAAAUAAAACUUUCAACAACGGAUCUCUUGGCUCUCGCAUCGAUGAAGAACGCAGCGAAAUGCGAUAAGUAAUGUGAAUUGCAGAAUUCAGUGAAUCAUCGAAUCUUUGAACGCACCUUGCGCUCCAUGGUAUUCCGUGGAGCAUGCCUGUUUGAGUGUCAUGAAUACUUCAACCCUCCUCUUUCUUAAUGAUUGAAGAGGUGUUUGGUUUCUGAGCGCUGCUGGCCUUUACGGUCUAGCUCGUUCGUAAUGCAUUAGCAUCCGCAAUCGAACUUCGGAUUGACUUGGCGUAAUAGACUAUUCGCUGAGGAAUUCUAGUCUUCGGACUAGAGCCGGGUUGGGUUAAAGGAAGCUUCUAAUCAGAAUGUCUACAUUUUAAGAUUAGAUCUCAAAUCAGGUAGGACUACCCGCUGAACUUAAGCAUAUCAAUAAGCGGAGGA
RNAcentral lists this ribosomal RNA (592 nucleotides) under Rhodotorula mucilaginosa. Its description in RNAcentral is "eukaryotic LSU rRNA". The stretch from base 160 to 313 matches the Rfam family "5.8S ribosomal RNA". Lineage: Eukaryota; Fungi; Basidiomycota; Microbotryomycetes; Sporidiobolales; Sporidiobolaceae. The record is from RNAcentral.